Molecule: long non-coding RNA, 1665 nt
Filed under: Salmo salar (Atlantic salmon)
Lineage: Eukaryota; Metazoa; Chordata; Actinopteri; Salmoniformes; Salmonidae
Description: lncRNA (ENSSSAG00000114297.1)
Source: RNAcentral
CCCAUAAUGACAUCACAAUACCCCAUAAUGACAUCACAAUACCCCAUAAUGAUAUCACAAUACCCCAUAAUGACAUCACAAUACCCCAUAAUGACAUCACAAUACCCCAUAAUGACAUCACAAUACCCCAUAAUGACAUCACAAUACCCCAUAAUGACAUCACAAUACCCCAUAAUGACAUCACAAUACCCCAUAAUGACAAAGCAAAAACAGGUUUUAAGAAGUUUUUGCAAAUGUACUAAUAAAAAAAAACUGAAAUAUCCCAUUUACAUAAGUAUUCAGACCCUUUACUCAGUACUUUGUUGAAGCGCCUUUGGCAGCGAUUACAGCCUCGAGUUUUCUUGGGUAUGACGUUACAUGCUUGGUACACCUGUAUCUGGGGUGUUUCUCCCAUUCUUCUCUGCAGAUCCUCUCAAGCUCUGUCAGGUUGGAUGGGGAGCGUCGCUGCACAGCUAUUUUCAGGUCUCUCCAGAGAUGUUCACUGUAUUCACUGUAUUUAGCCUCGAUUUUUAUUUUACUGUUGCUGUUAUUUUUUGUUAUUUGUUUCUUUUAUUUUCUAUUUUUUACUUAACACGUUUUUCUUCUUAACUUCUUAAAGCAUUGUUGGUUAGGGGCUUGUAAGUCAGCAUUUCACUGUGAGGUCUACUACACCUGUUGUAUUCAGCAUUUCACUGUGAGGUCUACUACACCUGUUGUAUUCAGCAUUUCACUGUGAGGUCUACUACACCUGUUGUAUUCAGCAUUUCACUGUAAGGUCUACCUACACCUGUUGUAUUCAGCAUUUCACUGUAAGGUCUACUACACCUGUUGUAUUCAGCAUUUCACUGUGAGGUCUACUACACCUGUUGUAUUCAGCAUUUCACUGUAAGGUCUACCUACACCUGUUGUAUUCAGCAUUUCACUGUAAGGUCUACUACACCUGUUGUAUUCAGCAUUUCACUGUGAGGUCUACUACACCUGUUGUAUUCAGCAUUUCACUGUAAGGUCUACCUACACCUGUUGUAUUCAGCAUUUCACUGUGAGGUCUACUACACCUGUUGUAUUCAGCAUUUCACUGUAAGGUCUACUACACCUGUAGUAUUCAGCAUUUCACUGUGAGGUCUACUACACCUGUUGUAUUCAGCAUUUCACUGUAAGGUCUACUACACCUGUUGUAUUCAGCAUUUCACUGUAAGGUCUACUACACCUGUUGUAUUCAGCAUUUCACUGUAAGGUCUACUACACCUGUUGUAUUCAGCAUUUCACUGUGAGGUCUACUACACCUGUUGUAUUCAGCAUUUCACUGUGAGGUCUACUACACCUGUUGUAUUCAGCAUUUCACUGUAAGGUCUACCUACACCUGUUGUAUUCAGCAUUUCACUGUAAGGUCUACUACACCUGUUGUAUUCAGCAUUUCACUGUGAGGUCUACUACACCUGUUGUAUUCAGCAUUUCACUGUAAGGUCUACCUACACCUGUUGUAUUCAGCAUUUCACUGUGAGGUCUACUACACCUGUUGUAUUCAGCAUUUCACUGUAAGGUCUACUACACCUGUAGUAUUCAGCAUUUCACUGUGAGGUCUACUACACCUGUUGUAUUCAGCAUUUCACUGUAAGGUCUACUACACCUGUUGUAUUCAGCAUUUCACUGUAAGGUCUACUACACCUGUUGUAUUCAGCAUUUCAC